AUGAACGCUAGCGGCAGGCCUAACACAUGCAAGUCGAGGGAGAAGCCCUUUCGGGGGCAGACACCGGCGCACGGGUGCGUAACGCGUAUGCAACCUACCUUUCACAGGGGGAUAGCCCGAAGAAAUUUGGAUUAAUACCCCAUAAUAUUGUUGGAUGGCAUCAUUUGGCAAUUAAAACUGCGGUGGUGAAAGAUGGGCAUGCGUCCUAUUAGCUAGUUGGAGUGGUAACGGCACCCCAAGGCUACGAUAGGUAGGGGUCCUGAGAGGGAGAUCCCCCACACUGGUACUGAGACAGGGACCAGACUCCUACGGGAGGCAGCAGUGAGGAAUAUUGGUCAAUGGUCGGAAGACUGAACCAGCCAUGCCGCGUGCAGGAAGAAUGCCUUAUGGGUUGUAAACUGCUUUUAUAUGGGAAGAAUAAGGCGUACGUGUACGUUGAUGACGGUACCAUAUGAAUAAGCAUCGGCUAACUCCGUG
Molecule: ribosomal RNA, 477 nt
Filed under: uncultured bacterium
Lineage: Bacteria
Description: partial 16S ribosomal RNA
Rfam family: Bacterial small subunit ribosomal RNA
Source: RNAcentral